CGCCAGACUCCUACGGUAUUCAGCAGUGGGUAAUAUUGGGCAAUUUUCUCAAGCCUGACCCAUCAACGCCGCUUUAAUUAAGAAGGCUUUCUUGUUGUAAACUUCUUUUCUUGGUUACUAAGAAAGUGACUUUACCCAAGGAAUAAUCCACGGCUAACUACUUGCCAGCAUCCUCUUUAAUACGUAUUUUUCAAGCGUUAUCCGUAUUUAUUUUUUGUAAAGGGCGUUUAUGAGGGAAUGCAAGUAAGAUGUGAAAAAUAGGGGCUCAAAAAAUAGCCUGCAUUUGAAAAUGUAUUUCUUGAGUGAUGGAGAGGCAAUAGGAAUUCCGUGUGUAGCGGUGAAAUGCGUAGAUAUACGGAGGAAAAAAAGUGGCGAAGGAGGAUUGCUGGACAGUAACUGACGAUGAGGAGAGAAAGCGUGGGGAGCAAACAGGAUUAGAUACCCCGGUAAAC
Molecule: ribosomal RNA, 452 nt
Filed under: uncultured bacterium
Lineage: Bacteria
Description: bacterial SSU rRNA
Rfam family: Bacterial small subunit ribosomal RNA
Source: RNAcentral